RNAcentral lists this long non-coding RNA (1200 nucleotides) under Meriones unguiculatus (Mongolian gerbil). RNAcentral describes it as "lncRNA (ENSMUGG00000017319.1)". The record is from RNAcentral. Lineage: Eukaryota; Metazoa; Chordata; Mammalia; Rodentia; Muridae.
AACACAUCUAGAAUAUUUCAAAAAUUAUUCCCGUGGUAUUUUUCACUUUGAUCAUGCAAUUUGAUCAAACUGUUUAACCUGUUCAUGUCUGCUUCUUCGCCUAGAAAAUGAGGAGCUGUGAUAGUCAACACAAUGGAACCAUGAGAAGUAAGCACAGUAGUUUACAAAGUGCCUAAAAAAUGUCCUAGAACUGUGCCCUUCAAGUGUUUGCACUGUCAUCUGUACAUGCCAUGUGCCUUACAUCUCCCCUCAUUCUCUUAAGCAUCUGCUGUGGUUUUCCCCUCGGGAGCAGCAGGAAGCCAAGGACGAAGGAUACAGGCUCAGCACCAAGUUUUCAGUUAGUACAUUAAUGUCGACUAAAAACCACAUCAUGAGGCCCGGUGUCGGUGUGCUCCUGUAACUCCAGCAAUCAGGAGUCUGCCGUGGGAGAACCGUGAUCUUGAGGGCAGCCAGGACAGCAGGACCUGCCUCAAACAGACUGGGAUCACUUCAGUUAUCGUGAGAACAUACAGUUAAGUAGAACCUUAAGCCAUGUGCAGUAUAGAACCUGUGUGAAUGCCCAAGAAUUAUCCUUGAGUACGCCUAUUGUCUAAUUUCCACAUGUAAGCCAUUAGCAAAGCCGUGUUGCUCUGAUUCAUCUCCACUCUGUCUGCCUCAGUCACCCUAUUCCAGCCACCAUCAGCUUCUUCCUGCACUCCUGUAAUCAUUUCUGUCUUCUGUAGAUCUUCUCCCAGAAACCAAUUUCCUACACUAAUCACAGAGUGGUUUUUUAAUCUGAAGUCGGAUCACAUGACUCCAUUAUUUAGAAUCCCUCAAUGGUCUGUCUCUCCACCUACUUGUAAAAUUUUAUGCUUAUGAUAGGUGAUUUGCCUGUGUGUAAGUGCCCCAGGUGCAUGCAAUGUCCAUGAAAAACAGCAGAGGACAGCAAAUCCCCUGGAACUUGUAAGUCACUGUAAGGCUUCUGAGAACCAGCUGAGAGCCAUCUUUCUAGCCCCUCCUCCCUCCCCCAAGUCAAUGAUUCUCAGAUGCACUUAGAGUUCAGAUGGGGCCUGUGAUGACUUGGGGAGUUAAGUGCUUGCCACACAAGCCUGCUAACCUUUCAAUCCCAGAACCUAUGUAGAGAUGGAAGGAUAGAAUCAACUCCACAGAGCUGUGCUCCACAAGUGAACCAUGGUACGGGUACACACACACAAUAAUUUU